RNAcentral lists this ribosomal RNA (468 nucleotides) under uncultured bacterium. RNAcentral's name for it is "partial 16S ribosomal RNA". It matches the Rfam family "Bacterial small subunit ribosomal RNA", at positions 28 to 507 of the family's 1533-position model. The record is from RNAcentral.
GACGAACGCUGGCGGCGUGCUUAACACAUGCAAGUCGAACGGAAAGGCCCUGCUUUUGUGGGGUGCUCGAGUGGCGAACGGGUGAGUAACACGUGAGUAACCUGCCCUUGACUUUGGGAUAACUUCAGGAAACUGGGGCUAAUACCGGAUAGGAGCUCCUGCUGCAUGGUGGGGGUUGGAAAGUUUCGGCGGUUGGGGAUGUACUCGCGGCUUAUCAGCUUGUUGGUGGGGUAGUGGCUUACCAAGGCUUUGACGGGUAGCCGGCCUGAGAGCGUGAACGGCCACAUUGGGACUGAGAUACGGCCCAGACUCGUACGGGAGGCAGCAGUGGGGAAUAUUGCACAAUGGGCGGAAGCCUGAUGCAGCAACGCCGCGUGCGGGAUGACGGCCUUCGGGUUGUAAACCGCUUUCGCCUGUGACGAAGCGUGAGUGACGGUAAUGGGUAAAGAAGCACCGGCUAACUACGUG